RNAcentral lists this ribosomal RNA (275 nucleotides) under uncultured bacterium. RNAcentral's name for it is "partial 16S ribosomal RNA". It matches the Rfam family "Bacterial small subunit ribosomal RNA", at positions 338 to 627 of the family's 1533-position model. The record is from RNAcentral.
CCUACGGGUGGCUGCAGUAGGGAAUAUUGCGCAAUGGGGGAAACCCUGACGCAGCAACGCCGCGUGAGUGAUGAAGGCUUUCGGGUCGUAAAGCUCUGUUGCAAGGGAAAAAGAAAGUGAUUGUACCUUGCGAGGAAGGACCGGCAAACUUCGUGCCAGCAGCCGCGGUAAUACGAGGGGUCCUAGCGUUGUUCGGAAUCAUUGGGCGUAAAGCGCUCGUAGGUGGCUUAGUAAGUCAGGUGUGAAAGCCCCGGGCUCAACCCGGGAAGUGCACU